Ochotona princeps (American pika) is the source of this 107-nucleotide small nuclear RNA. NCBI's taxonomy places the organism in Eukaryota, Metazoa, Chordata, Mammalia, Lagomorpha, Ochotonidae. The record is from Ensembl.
GUACUCAUUUUGCCAGUACAUACACCCAAACUGGGAUAGUGUAGACAAGUUUAGCGUGGCCCUGCACAAGGAUGACAUACAAAUUCAUGAUGGCGUUUCAAAUUCUU